Molecule: ribosomal RNA, 910 nt
Filed under: uncultured beta proteobacterium
Lineage: Bacteria; Pseudomonadati; Pseudomonadota; Betaproteobacteria
Description: bacterial SSU rRNA
Rfam family: Bacterial small subunit ribosomal RNA
Source: RNAcentral
AGAGUUUGAUUAUGGCUCAGAAGCAGGCAUGGCAGCUGCUUUACCUGACAGUCGUACGGCAGCGCGGGCUUCGGCCUGGCGGCGAGUGGCGAACGGGUGAGUAAUGCAUCGGAACGUGCCCAGUAGUGGGGGAUAGCCCGGCGAAAGCCGGAUUAAUACCGCAGACGACCUGAGGGUGAAAGCGGGGGACCGAAAGGCCUCGCGCUAUUGGAGCGGCCGAUGUCGGAUUAGCUAGUUGGUGGGGUAAAGGCUUACCAAGGCGACGAUCCGUAGCUGGUCUGAGAGGACGACCAGCCACACUGGGACUGAGACACGGCCCACACUCCUACGGGAGGCAGCACUGGGGAAUUUUGGACAAUGGGGGCAACCCUGAUCCAGCCAUGCCGCGUGCGGGAAGAAGGCCUUCUGGUUGUAAACCGCUUUUGUUCGGGAAGAAAUCCCCUGGGCUAUACCUCGGGGGGAUGACGGUACCGGAAGAAUAAGCACCGGCGAACUACGUGCCUUCAGCCGCGGUAAUACGUAGGGUGCGAGCGUUAAUCGGAAUUACUGGGCGUAGAGCGUGCGCUCGCAGUUGUGCAAGACUAAUGUGAAAUCCCCUGGCUUAACCUGGCAACUGCAUUUGUGACUGCUCGGCUCCAGUGCGGCAGAUUGGAGUGGAAUUCCGCGUGUAGCAGUGAAAUGCGUAUAUCUGCGGAGGAACACCUAUUGCUAAUGCAGCUCCCUGGGCCUGCACUGACGCUCAUGCACGAUAGCGUGCGGAGCUAACUGGAUUAAAUACCCUGGUACUCCUCGCCCUAGACGAUUUCAACUGCUUGUUGCUCCUUCACUGCAUCAGUCACGUUACUCACGCGUGAAGUUGACUGUCUGCCGAGUACGGGCACGAUGCUAUAACUCACAUGAAUUGACGGGG